Molecule: ribosomal RNA, 135 nt
Filed under: uncultured bacterium
Lineage: Bacteria
Description: partial 16S ribosomal RNA
Rfam family: Bacterial small subunit ribosomal RNA
Source: RNAcentral
UACGGUGAAUACGUUCCCGGACCUUGUACACACCGCCCGUCAAGCCAUGGAAGCUGGGUGUACCUAAAGUCGAUAACCGUAAGGAGUCGCCUAGGGUAAAACUAGUAACUGGGGCUAAGUCGUAACAAGGUACCC